This 32-nucleotide ribosomal RNA is filed under the name Cladonia humilis. RNAcentral describes it as "partial 28S ribosomal RNA". The record is from RNAcentral. Lineage: Eukaryota; Fungi; Ascomycota; Lecanoromycetes; Lecanorales; Cladoniaceae.
CAGUAGGGAUACCCGCUGAACUUAAGCAUAUC